Asterias rubens (European starfish) is the source of this 716-nucleotide long non-coding RNA. RefSeq lists it as uncharacterized. The transcript is spliced from 4 exons. The record is from RefSeq and is a predicted model, not a curated record. Lineage: Eukaryota; Metazoa; Echinodermata; Asteroidea; Forcipulatida; Asteriidae.
GCGAUUUAUGAACAUUCUAUUUGAGCUGGAAUAUUUUAUGCCUCCUGGAUUUUAAAAUGUAUAUUGGAGGAGUUUGACGGUGAAUAGCGGCAAGACAAUGCACUGUACUCAAAGCCAUGCGCACUUGGGCUCACACUAUCAAGUGGUACACGAUGAUCAACAUCGCCAGUGCAGGACUUCGACAUUUUUUCGGAUAUAAUUUCUUCCAUGGAUAUAUUUGUUAGCUGUGAACUCGUUGAGAAUAUAGUGAGGGACACUGUGAAUAUAUGAACGGAAUUUCAGCUUCUCAAAUCAGAAAGCAUUGCGAAAGUUCCGUUGGUUAUUGCCGUGAUGCGUGUGUGUACGUCGUGUAGCUAGGACGGUGGUUAACAAAAGCACAACCACUAUAACUCGCAUUUUUCAAGCAUUUUCAAUAUUUAAAGACCUGAAGUCCCAUCCACUAUUCCACGCAAUCGACUGGAAGCGAAUCAGGGAGACAGAAGCCCCUUUCAUCCCAGCCCCAGAUGACAGAACGGACACCACUUAUUUUGACGCUCGGAACAACAUGCAGCAUCUCCAGAUGUCUUCUUUUGCACUUUGACCUCUUGAAUGAUAGUGCAAUCCACAACUCAUCAACAUGAAACUAUUCCAGGAUGGUGGUCAACUUGGUCCAGUGGUUAGACUGCAGGACUUGCAAUCACAAGGUUGUAGGUUUGAAUCAUACUAAGCUAACUGUG